Molecule: ribosomal RNA, 931 nt
Filed under: uncultured bacterium
Lineage: Bacteria
Description: bacterial SSU rRNA
Rfam family: Bacterial small subunit ribosomal RNA
Source: RNAcentral
UGCAGUCGAGGGGCAGCAUUGGAGUAGCAAUACUUCAGAUGGCGACCGGCGCACGGGUGAGUGACACGUAUCCAACCUGCCGCUUACUCGGGGAUAGCCUUUCGAAAGAAAGAUUAAUACCCGAUGGUAUAAAGAGUUCGCAUGUUCUCUUUAUUAAAGAAUUUCGGUAAGCGAUGGGGAUGCGUUCCAUUAGAUAGUUGGCGGGGUAACGGCCCACCAAGUCUACGAUGGAUAGGGGUUCUGAGAGGAAGGUCCCCCACAUUGGAACUGAGACACGGUCCAAACUCCUACGGGAGGCAGCAGUGAGGAAUAUUGGUCAAUGGACGAGAGUCUGAACCAGCCAAGUAGCGUGAAGGAUGACUGCCCUAUGGGUUGUAAACUUCUUUUAUAAGGGAAUAAAGUGAGGGACGUGUCCCUUUUUGUAUGUACCUUAUGAAUAAGGAUCGGCUAACUCCGUGCCAGCAGCCGCGGUAAUACGGAGGAUCCAAGCGUUAUCCGGAUUUAUUGGGUUUAAAGGGAGCGUAGGUUGACAUAUAAGUCAGCUGUGAAAGUUUACGGCUCAACCGUGAAAUUGCAGUUGAUACUGUAUGUCUUGAGUGUACAAGAGGUGGGCGGAAUUCGUGGUGUAGCGGUGAAAUGCUUAGAUAUCACGAAGAACUCCAAUUGCGAAGGCAGCUCACUGGGGUACAACUGACACUGAGGCUCGAAAGUGUGGGUAUCAAACAGGAUUAGAUACCCUGGUAGUCCACACAGUAAACGAUGAAUACUCGCUGUUUGCGAUAUACAGUAAGCGGCCAAGCGAAAGCAUUAAGUAUUCCACCUGGGGAGUACGCCGGCAACGGUGAAACUCAAAGGAAUUGACGGGGGCCCGCACAAGCGGAGGAACAUGUGGUUUAAUUCGAUGAUACGCGAGGAACCUUACCCGGGCUUG